AUGAACGCUGGCAGCGUGCCUAAUACAUGCAAGUCGAGCGAACGGACGAGAAGCUUGCUUCUCUGAUGUUAGCGGCGGACGGGUGAGUAACACGUGGAUAACCUACCUAUAAGACUGGGAUAAUUUCGGGAAACCGGAGCUAAUACCGGAUAAUAUUUUGAACCGCAUGGUUCAAAAGUGAAAGACGGUCUUGCUGUCACUUAUAGAUGGAUCCGCGCUGCAUUAGCUAGUUGGUAAGGUAACGGCUUACCAAGGCAACGAUGCAUAGCCGACCUGAGAGGGUGAUCGGCCACACUGGAACUGAGACACGGUCCAGACUCCUACGGGAGGCAGCAGUAGGGAAUCUUCCGCAAUGGGCGAAAGCCUGACGGAGCAACGCCGCGUGAGUGAUGAAGGUCUUCGGAUCGUAAAACUCUGUUAUUAGGGAAGAACAUAUGUGUAAGUAACUGUGCACAUCUUGACGGUACCUAAUCAGAAAGCCACGGCUAACUACGUG
This 496-nucleotide ribosomal RNA is filed under the name uncultured bacterium. RNAcentral's name for it is "partial 16S ribosomal RNA". It matches the Rfam family "Bacterial small subunit ribosomal RNA", at positions 29 to 507 of the family's 1533-position model. The record is from RNAcentral.